UACGGAGGGUGCAAGCGUUUUUCGGAAUCAUUGGGCGUAAAGCGCGUGUAGGCGGCUUGGCAAGUCGGGUGUGAAAUCCCGGGGCCCAACCCCGGAACUGCAUUCGAAACUGCCUCGCUAGAGUCCCGGAGAGGAAGGCGGAAUUCCCGGUGUAGAGGUGAAAUUCGUAGAUAUCGGGAGGAACACCAGCGGCGAAGGCGGCCUUCUGGACGGUGACUGACGCUGAGACGCGAAAGCGUGGGGAGCGAACAGG
This 253-nucleotide ribosomal RNA is filed under the name uncultured bacterium. Its description in RNAcentral is "partial 16S ribosomal RNA". It matches the Rfam family "Bacterial small subunit ribosomal RNA", at positions 524 to 776 of the family's 1533-position model. The record is from RNAcentral.